Long non-coding RNA from Hydra vulgaris (swiftwater hydra), 115 nucleotides. RefSeq lists it as uncharacterized. NCBI's taxonomy places the organism in Eukaryota, Metazoa, Cnidaria, Hydrozoa, Anthoathecata, Hydridae. The record is from RefSeq and is a predicted model, not a curated record.
AAAUGAACACAUAAGAAAAUUUAAACGACGAUGAUGGUGACUUUUUUAGAAAAAAAUUAGAAGAUUUACAAAAGUCCAUAGGUGAGUAAAAUUGCUUUUAUGUUUAUUAUACACC